AUACGAAGGGGGCAAGCGUUGUUCGGAAUAACUGGGCGUAAAGCGCACGUAGGCGGAAUGUUAAGUUAGAGGUGAAAUCCCAGGGCUCAACCCUGGAACGGCCUUUAAUACUGGCGAUCUAGAGACCGAGAGAGGUGAGUGGAAUUCCGAGUGUAGAGGUGAAAUUCGUAGAUAUUCGGAGGAACACCAGUGGCGAAGGCGGCUCACUGGCUCGGUACUGACGCUGAGGUGCGAAAGCGUGGGGAGCAAACAGGAUUAGAUACCCUAGUAGUCC
This 274-nucleotide ribosomal RNA is filed under the name uncultured bacterium. RNAcentral's name for it is "partial 16S ribosomal RNA". It matches the Rfam family "Bacterial small subunit ribosomal RNA", at positions 523 to 796 of the family's 1533-position model. The record is from RNAcentral.